This 496-nucleotide long non-coding RNA is filed under the name Olea europaea subsp. europaea. The record is from RNAcentral. Lineage: Eukaryota; Viridiplantae; Streptophyta; Magnoliopsida; Lamiales; Oleaceae.
CACAGAUUAUGUAUCGGUCACGAAUAAAUUUUUUUAUAGGUCAUGGACUAUUCAUCGCUCAAAAAAUCAAAACUUUUAUUGAUCACAACUCAUUUAUUCAUUGCAAAUUAUCAAAUUAAUUAGCCACAAUUUUUCAUUGCAACUCAUUUUUAAAAGUUUGUAACCCAUUAAUAUGUUGACUAUGACCUUUUGUGACCAAGUGUGUUAAUUGUGAUCUAUUGUGAUCGGUAAUGUAUUGAAUAUGACCUAUUGUCUAACUACAAUAUGUUAUCACAAAUUAUAUCUGACAAAAAAUUAAGUGCAUAUUUGAUAUUGAUUUUUCUCUCCAAAAAAUCAAAUUUUUGACCGUUAUUUCACUAUUUCAGCCGCUAUUUUUUAUUUCUUCUCUCACAGAUAGGAUUAAAUUUUCUUUCUUAAUGUCAAAAAAUCAAUUCUCAAAAUCACCACCGAACAAGCCUUAAAUAGCCUUUGAACGGUUACUUCCGGUACAGGCAUA